RNAcentral lists this ribosomal RNA (263 nucleotides) under uncultured bacterium. RNAcentral's name for it is "partial 16S ribosomal RNA". It matches the Rfam family "Bacterial small subunit ribosomal RNA", at positions 95 to 354 of the family's 1533-position model. The record is from RNAcentral.
CCGGCGCACGGGUGAGUAACACGUAUGCAACCUGGCCGUCACAGGUGGAUAGCCGGAAGAAAUUCCGACUAAUACAGCAUAACACUCCUGAGGGACAUCCUUCGGGAGUCAAAGGAGGCAACUCCGGUGACGGAUGGGCAUGCGGCGCAUUAGGUAGUUGGUAGGGUAACGGCCUACCAAGCCGACGAUGCGUAGGGGUUCUGAGAGGAAGGUCCCCCACAUUGGAACUGAGACACGGUCCAAACUCCUACGGAAGGCAGCAG